RNAcentral lists this transfer RNA (74 nucleotides) under Anguilla anguilla (European eel). RNAcentral describes it as "tRNA-OTHER". Lineage: Eukaryota; Metazoa; Chordata; Actinopteri; Anguilliformes; Anguillidae. The record is from RNAcentral.
GCCCCGUGGCACAGUGGUUAUAGCGCCGUCGCCCGCGGCGAGAAGGUCGUGGGUUCGAAUCUCGGCUUGGGGCC